Molecule: long non-coding RNA, 1380 nt
Organism: Entelurus aequoreus (snake pipefish)
Lineage: Eukaryota; Metazoa; Chordata; Actinopteri; Syngnathiformes; Syngnathidae
Exons: 3
Source: RefSeq, a predicted model, not a curated record
CUUGGUCAACAAAAAACGAAUUGCCGUAUGCAAAUCACGCAGUUCGAAUAUUACAGACGGAGACGCAACAACUUCCAACUUCGUUCGACAUUUGAAGUUGCACAAAGAAGGUGUCGUGGUACUCCACUGAAUCAUACAGUACUGGGAGCCCCCUUUGUGUAGCUAAACAAGGCUUUGACCACCAAGCGUUGCGAUGACGACAAAUACCAGCGCUAUGGAAACCAUCCUGCAUAGUGCCGGUGCCCAAGAAGCCCAUCCCAUCUGGCUUGGAAGACUUCAGACCGGUUGCCCUGAUGUGUCAUGUGAUGAAGGUCCUCGAGAGACUUGUGCUGGAUCAGCUGAGACCCCUGGUGCCUCAUUUCCUGGACCCUCUACAGUUUGCCUAUCAGUCCCAUGAUGCUGUUAUCUACCUGCUGCAUCGUGCUCACUCUCACCUGGAUGGUGGGAGGGGCACUGUGAGGAUCAUGUUCUUUGAUUUCUCCAGUGCCUUUAACACCAUCCAGCCAAUUCUGAUGACUGACAAGUUGUUCAAGUCAUUCCCCCAUCUUUACUCAUCGCAAAGAGCAGCAGAUGUGAUUGCAUGCGAGUGACAACAUUUUGGAAUAUACUUGUUUUGGAUGAUAAACAUUACACACUCCAGUAGUGUAAGUCUUUAAAGUUUUGGAUUAAUCAUAAUAGUUCAUUUAAAAAGACCCCGAUAUUUGGGCACCAAUGCAAUUUUUUUGUCACAAUUUCAUCCAGAGCGACCCAAACCGCCUUUCAGUCAAACAUCCGCAGUUAAGGUAAAGGAGCAUGGAUGGUCAAAAUAAAUUGCGUGAUUAGUCUGCUUGCAUACAUGUACGACAUUAAAGCAGUCAUUUUUUGUGAUUAAUCACAUGAGUUAACCCGUUAUUUUUGACAGUCGUAGUUCAAAUGAUUUGAAAGACAGGCUAGUCUUUACAGUAUACCGGUACUACAGAUAUUAUUAAAUGGGAACUGCACUUUUUUGGGGAAUUUUGCCUGUCGCUCACAAUCAUUAUGAAAAACAUGACGACAGAUGUAUUUUUUUUAAUGCAUUCUAACUCGUAAAUAAACAUAAAUAAAAGCCCACUUACAGUGCAGCCAAUGGGAAGUCCUCAAUUCCGCCUAUAAAAUCCAAUAAAUAACCAUUCAAAAAGCGCUAACAAUACUCCAUUUACAUUUUGUGAUUUGAAUAUUAACCAAGUAUUAUUGAUAUUGUUAAUAUAAGUGCUAAUGCAGGCGAACUAUUCUUAGCGGCGCCGUGAUCACUACAGUGUGUCCUUUUGUUUACAUCUUCGAGUGCAUUAAGCUGUGUGAGAAAUUUUAAGUCAGAAAUGUGGUGUGUUUGUCAACAAAAUAAUAGUACAGGCAACACAGCAA